Long non-coding RNA from Schistocerca serialis cubense, 310 nucleotides. RefSeq lists it as uncharacterized. NCBI's taxonomy places the organism in Eukaryota, Metazoa, Arthropoda, Insecta, Orthoptera, Acrididae. The record is from RefSeq and is a predicted model, not a curated record. The transcript is spliced from 3 exons.
CCUGCUCGUCUACACUUCCAAUGUCAAGGCGGCAUUUACCCGAAAUGCAGCGUGGAUGUCUUUGUAGUCCGUCAGCGUUCACGAAUAGACCAAAUUAUAACGACAAGAAAUUAUAUACCUGGGCACGAAUACAUAACAUGCAACCUGGACCUGUCGCUAAAUAUAACUAAGAUAUACUCCAAACUACAGAACGAGAGGCAUAAUGUGUUGCUAUGAAUGUUGACAGCAGCCUGUCACAGUUUGAAUGCUAUUAGACUGCUGAUGGACCAGGAAAUGAUACCAGAAUGGAAACAUGUAUUAUAAAAACAUC